Non-coding RNA from Nothobranchius furzeri (turquoise killifish), 771 nucleotides. NCBI's taxonomy places the organism in Eukaryota, Metazoa, Chordata, Actinopteri, Cyprinodontiformes, Nothobranchiidae. The record is from RefSeq and is a predicted model, not a curated record.
UCUACGUUAGAGAGGACCUCCACCUGUCUCUACGUUAGAGAGGACCCGCACCUGUCUCUACGUUAGAGAGGGCCUACACCUGUCUCUACAUUAGAGAGGGCCUCCACCUAUCUCUACGUUAGAGAGGACCCGCACCUGUAUCUACCUUAGAGAGGGCCUGCACCUGUCUCAACAUUAGAGAGGAUCUCCACCUAUCUCUAUGUUAGAGAGGACCAGCACCUGUCUCUGCGUUAGAGAGGACCUCCACUUGUGUCAGGAUCUGGGGUGAGUCUGCACAUUCAACUAAUUACCACCAAGUCGUUGCAGGUGAGCGGUGCCGGAGAGUGGCCAGCUGCGGUGUGUUUCCCAUCACCUGCCAGGGUUUAUAAGGAGCUGGGAGAUCACUUCACCUCGCUGGAAGAUUACUCAACUUGGGAUCAUCUUCAGACCUGCCUCAUCCAACCUCAGCCAUAAUCUGGAACCGUGCUACAGAUCUCCCUCCUCCUGGUGGACCCCACCGCUCUCCUCCGCUCACCUCUUGGAUCACGCCCCAGUACCAACACCUCUGCCACAGCUCACCCCAGAUCUGCCCAGACAUCAAAGCCAGCUUCCUACAGUAAGACUCCUCCGAAGAAUUUAUUCCACUUCAGCCACAAGAUCCUCACCUCUGUCUAUCCUACAGACCCCGGCCACCGGAAAGAGUGCUCUGCGCCUUUGCUACCCAUCUCCACAUUUUGUGGUGCCUCUUUAGUUCAGUUAAAAGAAAUAAAAUUGUAUCUUAUUUUUUUCCUA